RNAcentral lists this transfer RNA (71 nucleotides) under Bos taurus (domestic cattle). It matches the Rfam family "tRNA". Rfam says of the family: Transfer RNA (tRNA) molecules are approximately 80 nucleotides in length. Their secondary structure includes four short double-helical elements and three loops (D, anti-codon, and T loops). The record is from Rfam by way of RNAcentral. RNAcentral also lists the same sequence under 4 other names. Lineage: Eukaryota; Metazoa; Chordata; Mammalia; Artiodactyla; Bovidae.
UCCCUGGUGGCUCAGUGGUGAAGAAUCAGCCUGCAAUGCAGGAGACACAGGUUCGACCCCUGAUCGGGGAG